AUCUCACCAACUAUUCCAUUUGCUUGCAAUGGAUGCAUGGAGCUGGUUGCCUGCUUUCAUGUCUGCCUUGGCUCUUUUCUUCCUUUCUUUUGGCCUACAAGAAAGAAGAAAGCAUGUCCUACCCAAAAGGCACUGUCCUUUUAAUUUCCACACGAAAGCAAAUCCGGUGUACCGCCCUGGCGAUGAUGAGGAUUUCUGCUGAACUCUGU
Molecule: long non-coding RNA, 209 nt
Filed under: Brachypodium distachyon (stiff brome)
Lineage: Eukaryota; Viridiplantae; Streptophyta; Magnoliopsida; Poales; Poaceae
Description: long non-coding RNA (BDIS_LNC002785)
Source: RNAcentral